RNAcentral lists this unclassified non-coding RNA (1027 nucleotides) under Hevea brasiliensis (rubber tree). Lineage: Eukaryota; Viridiplantae; Streptophyta; Magnoliopsida; Malpighiales; Euphorbiaceae. The record is from RNAcentral.
CGGGUACUAGCAUAUAACCUUAUGUUCACCAUUUCUGGGUCACUACAACAUGUACAGGAGCUAUAGGAUAUGAAGGCUCCAGGAAACAGCAAAAUAACAACUUCAAAAAUAUUACUCCCCUAAUCUAACUACCUAUGUAGAUGUUGUUUAAUGGGUAAACUCGGUACUAGCGUUUUGAUGUCUUCGCUCCCAUCACGACACCAACAGUUUGCUUACAACUUCAGGGGGUCCCUUUAAACGGUGUAUGACUGCUGAAUUGUCUCAAUGUCGAGACCCUUCAACUUCACAACUGAUUCAACAUGACCUUUCAGUGUAUGCAACUCACGUAGCCUAGCAAUUUCAGCUCUCCUCUUCGCUUCCUCAGCCAACUGGUUAAGCUCAUUGAAAUUGGUAGUUUCGCUAAAUAUUUUGGGGUCUGGAACUUGGAGCCCAUGAAGGGUUCUCUGUGCAUGUGCCCAUUGAAGCUCGCGCAGUUCUUUUCCAAAAUCCUUCUUCCGGGUGAAAGCAAUCCUUUGCUCAAGAACAAGAUCCCAGGCCUUCCCACUGAGAGCAUAACGGAUGAGGAACUUGAUCAAAUCUAGUGGGAUAUAGGUAACAAUAUUGUAAAGCCAGAUAACUCCAGCCCAACCCCAGCCAAUUCCUUCAAUUGCAGCAAAGCUCCAAUUUGCAUAAACAGCAAUCAAGGUGGCAACCAGUUGAGCAACGAAAAAGGCAAACACUAGCAACAACCCAGGACGCUCCACAAACGACCAACUUCGAGAUCUUGUAACGAAUAUCAGGGCCUGACUGAUAGUGCUUACUUGAAGGUAUAUCGCAGAGGCGAGCUUCCUAAAAUCAUCAGUUGCUGUUUUCUCAAGUGUUGAUACCCCAAAUAUUCGCGGGAAGAAAUUUGUUUUGUAUGCGGCCCAAAAGAAAAUGACCGUCAUCAUUGCCAAGUAGCCACCAAGAACAACUCCAGUAGUAAAAAUCUCAGCCAGUUUCCAGCUAUCAGGCAGAGGAGAUGGUUUGACCCUAUCCUUCGAUAUCG